AUUGAACGCUGGCGGCAUGCUUUACACAUGCAAGUCGAACGGUAACAGGGAGCUUGCUCCGCUGACGAGUGGCGAACGGGUGAGUAAUGCAUCGGAACGUACCCAGUCGUGGGGGAUAACGUAGCGAAAGUUACGCUAAUACCGCAUACGUCCUGAGGGAGAAAGCGGGGGGACCGUAAGGCCUCGCGCGAUUGGAGCGGCCGAUGUCGGAUUAGCUAGUUGGUAGGGUAAAGGCCUACCAAGGCGACGAUCCGUAGCGGGUCUGAGAGGAUGAUCCGCCACACUGGGACUGAGACACGGCCCAGACUCUUACGGGAGGCAGCAGUGGGGAAUUUUGGACAAUGGGCGAAAGCCUGAUCCAGCCAUGCCGCGUGAGUGAAGAAGGCCUCGGUU
Molecule: ribosomal RNA, 393 nt
Filed under: uncultured bacterium
Lineage: Bacteria
Description: bacterial SSU rRNA
Rfam family: Bacterial small subunit ribosomal RNA
Source: RNAcentral